This 429-nucleotide ribosomal RNA is filed under the name Gemmatimonadota bacterium. RNAcentral describes it as "Gemmatimonadetes bacterium partial 16S ribosomal RNA". It matches the Rfam family "Bacterial small subunit ribosomal RNA", at positions 355 to 776 of the family's 1533-position model. The record is from RNAcentral. Lineage: Bacteria; Pseudomonadati; Gemmatimonadota.
UAGGGAAUCUUCGGCAAUGGACGAAAGUCUGACCGAGCAACGCCGCGUGAGUGAAGAAGGUUUUCGGAUCGUAAAACUCUGUUGUUAGAGAAGAACAAGGACGUUAGUAACUGAACGUCCCCUGACGGUAUCUAACCAGAAAGCCACGGCUAACUACGUGCCAGCAGCCGCGGUAAUACGUAGGUGGCAAGCGUUGUCCGGAUUUAUUGGGCGUAAAGCGAGCGCAGGCGGUUUCUUAAGUCUGAUGUGAAAGCCCCCGGCUCAACCGGGGAGGGUCAUUGGAAACUGGGAGGCUUGAGUGCAGAAGAGGAGAGUGGAAGUCCAUGUGUAGCGGUGAAAUGCGUAGAUAUAUGGAGGAACACCAGUGGCGAAGGCGGCUCUCUGGUCUGUAACAGACGCUGAGGCUCGAAAGCGUGGGGAGCAAACAGG